This 356-nucleotide ribosomal RNA is filed under the name uncultured organism. Its description in RNAcentral is "bacterial LSU rRNA". It matches the Rfam family "Bacterial large subunit ribosomal RNA", at positions 2099 to 2465 of the family's 2925-position model. The record is from RNAcentral.
CUUUACUCUAACUUGGCACUGACGUAUACGUCUGCAUGUGCAGGAUAGGUGGGAGACUAUGAAGGAGGGGCGUCAGCCCUUCCGGAGUCGUCGUUGAGAUACCACCCUUGCAUUCGUGUACGUCUAACUCUCAUUGAGAGGACCGUGCUUGGCGGGGAGUUUAACUGGGGCGGUUGCCUCCUAAAUCGUAACGGAGGCGCACAAAGGUGGGCUACUCUCGGAUGGAAAUCGAGAGCAUAGUGUAUUCGCAUAAGCCCGCUUGACUGAGAGACCAACAAGUCGAUCAGAGACGAAAGUCGGUGAAAGUGAUCCGGCACCAACAUGUGGGAGUGGUGUCGCUCAACGGAUAAAAGUUA